UGGGGAAUAUUGCACAAUGGGCGCAAGCCUGAUGCAGCCAUGCCGCGUGUAUGAAGAAGGCCUUCGGGUUGUAAAGUACUUUCAGCGGGGAGGAAGGGAGUAAAGUUAAUACCUUUGCUCAUUGACGUUACCCGCAGAAGAAGCACCGGCUAACUCCGUGCCAGCAGCCGCGGUAAUACGGAGGGUGCAAGCGUUAAUCGGAAUUACUGGGCGUAAAGCGCACGCAGGCGGUUUGUUAAGUCAGAUGUGAAAUCCUCGGGCUCAACCUGGGAACUGCAUCUGAUACUGGCAAGCUUGAGUCUCGUAGAGGGGGGUAGAAUUCCAGGGGGAGCGGUGAAAUGCGUAGAGAUCUGGAGGAAUACCGGUGGCGAAGGCGGCCCCCUGGACGAAGACUGACGCUCAGGUGCGAAAGCGUGGGGAGCAAACAGG
This 429-nucleotide ribosomal RNA is filed under the name Chloroflexota bacterium. RNAcentral's name for it is "Chloroflexi bacterium partial 16S ribosomal RNA". It matches the Rfam family "Bacterial small subunit ribosomal RNA", at positions 355 to 776 of the family's 1533-position model. The record is from RNAcentral. Lineage: Bacteria; Bacillati; Chloroflexota.